UUAAGUUAAUAAGGGCGCACGGUGGAUGCCUUGGCACUAGAAGCCGAUGAAGGACGUGACUAACAACGAAAUGCUUUGGGGAGCUGUAAGUGAGCAAUGAUCCAGAGAUGUCCGAAUGGGGGAACCCGGCAGGUAAUGCCUGUCACUCAUUACUGUUAAGGUAAUGUAGAGGAAGACGCAGUGAACUGAAACAUCUAAGUAGCUGCAGGAAGAGAAAGCAAAAGCGAUUGCCUUAGUAGCGGCGAGCGAAACGGCAAGAGGGCAAACCGAAGAGUUUACUCUUCGGGGUUGUAGGACUGCAACGUGGACUUAAAGAUUAUAGAAGAACUACCUGGGAAGGUAGGCCAAAGAGAGUAAUAGCCUCGUAUUCGAAAUAGUCUUUAUACCUAGCAGUAUCCUGAGUACGGCGAGACACGAGAAAUCUCGUCGGAAUCUGGGAGGACCAUCUCCCAACCCUAAAUACUCUCUAGUGACCGAUAGUGAACCAGUACCGUGAGGGAAAGGUGAAAAGCACCCCGGGAGGGGAGUGAAAUAGAACCUGAAACCGUGUGCCUACAACAAGUUCGAGCCCGUUAAUGGGUGAGAGCGUGCCUUUUGUAGAAUGAACCGGCGAGUUACGAUAUGAUGCGAGGUUAAGUUGAAGAGACGGAGCCGUAGGGAAACCGAGUCUUAAUAGGGCGCAUUAGUAUCAUGUCGUAGACCCGAAACCAUGUGACCUACCCAUGAGCAGGUUGAAGGUGAGGUAAAACUCACUGGAGGACCGAACCAGGGCACGUUGAAAAGUGCUUGGAUGACUUGUGGGUAGCGGAGAAAUUCCAAACGAACUUGGAGAUAGCUGGUUCUCUCCGAAAUAGCUUUAGGGCUAGCGUCGAUGUUAAGUCUCUUGGAGGUAGAGCACUGUUUGGGUGAGGGGUCCAUCCCGGAUUACCAAUCUCAGAUAAACUCCGAAUGCCAAUGAGAUAUAAUCGGCAGUCAGACUGCGAGUGCUAAGAUCCGUAGUCGAAAGGGAAACAGCCCAGACCACCAGCUAAGGUCCCAAAAUAUAUGUUAAGUGGAAAAGGAUGUGGGGUUGCACAGACAACUAGGAUGUUAGCUUAGAAGCAGCUAUUCAUUCAAAGAGUGCGUAAUAGCUCACUAGUCGAGUGACCCUGCGCCGAAAAUGUACCGGGGCUAAAACAUAUUACCGAAGCUGUGGAUACCUUUAUAGGUAUGGUAGGAGAGCGUUCUAUGUGCGAAGAAGGUGUACCGUGAGGAGUGCUGGAGCGCAUAGAAGUGAGAAUGCCGGUAUGAGUAGCGAAAGACAGGUGAGAAUCCUGUCCACCGUAAGACUAAGGUUUCCAGGGGAAGGCUCGUCCGCCCUGGGUUAGUCGGGACCUAAGGAGAGACCGAAAGGUGUAUCCGAUGGACAACAGGUUGAUAUUCCUGUACUAGAGUAUAUAGUGAUGGAGGGACGCAGUAGGCUAACUAAACCAGACGAUUGGAAGUGUCUGGCCAAGCAGUGAGGUGUGAUAUGAGUCAAAUGCUUAUAUCUCUAACAUUGAGCUGUGAUGGGGAGCGAAGUUUAGUAGCGAAGUUAGUGAUGUCACACUGCCGAGAAAAGCUUCUAGCGUUAAUUAUACUCUACCCGUACCGCAAACCGACACAGGUAGUCGAGGCGAGUAGCCUCAGGUGAGCGAGAGAACUCUCGUUAAGGAACUCGGCAAAAUGGCCCCGUAACUUCGGGAGAAGGGGCGCUGACUGAUGGUCAGCCGCAGUGAAUAGGCCCAAGCAACUGUUUAUCAAAAACACAGCUCUCUGCUAAAUUGUAAGAUGAUGUAUAGGGGGUGACGCCUGCCCGGUGCUGGAAGGUUAAGAGGAGUGCUUAGCGUAAGCGAAGGUAUGAAUUGAAGCCCCAGUAAACGGCGGCCGUAACUAUAACGGUCCUAAGGUAGCGAAAUUCCUUGUCGGGUAAGUUCCGACCCGCACGAAAGGCGUAAUGAUUUGGGCACUGUCUCAACGAGAGACUCGGUGAAAUUUUAGUACCUGUGAAGAUGCAGGUUACCCGCGACAGGACGGAAAGACCCCAUGGAGCUUUACUGCAGUUUGAUAUUGAGUAUCUGUACCACAUGUACAGGAUAGGUAGGAGCCUAUGACCUCGGGACGCCAGUUUCGAGUGAGGCGUUGUUGGGAUACUACCCUUGUGUUAUGGCUACUCUAACCCAGAUAGGUUAUCCCUAUCGGAGACAGUGUCUGACGGGCAGUUUGACUGGGGCGGUCGCCUCCUAAAAGGUAACGGAGGCGCCCAAAGGUUCCCUCAGAAUGGUUGGAAAUCAUUCGCAGAGUGUAAAGGUAUAAGGGAGCUUGACUGCGAGAGCUACAACUCGAGCAGGGACGAAAGUCGGGCUUAGUGAUCCGGUGGUUCCGUAUGGAAGGGCCAUCGCUCAACGGAUAAAAGCUACCCUGGGGAUAACAGGCUUAUCUCCCCCAAGAGUUCACAUCGACGGGGAGGUUUGGCACCUCGAUGUCGGCUCGUCGCAUCCUGGGGCUGUAGUCGGUCCCAAGGGUUGGGCUGUUCGCCCAUUAAAGCGGCACGCGAGCUGGGUUCAGAACGUCGUGAGACAGUUCGGUCCCUAUCCGUCGCGGGCGUAGGAAAUUUGAGAGGAUCUGCUCCUAGUACGAGAGGACCAGAGUGGACUUACCGCUGGUGUACCAGUUGUUCUGCCAAGAGCAUCGCUGGGUAGCUAUGUAGGGAAGGGAUAAACGCUGAAAGCAUCUAAGUGUGAAGCCCACCUCAAGAUGAGAUUUCCCAUGAUUUUAUAUCAGUAAGAGCCCUGAGAGAUGAUCAGGUUGAUAGGUUAGAAGUGGAAGUGUGGUGACACAUGUAGCGGACUAAUACUAAUAGCUCGAGGACUUAUCCAA
RNAcentral lists this ribosomal RNA (2898 nucleotides) under Streptococcus vestibularis. Its description in RNAcentral is "bacterial LSU rRNA". It matches the Rfam family "Bacterial large subunit ribosomal RNA". The record is from RNAcentral. Lineage: Bacteria; Bacillati; Bacillota; Bacilli; Lactobacillales; Streptococcaceae.